Long non-coding RNA from Podarcis raffonei (Aeolian wall lizard), 3400 nucleotides. RefSeq lists it as uncharacterized. The record is from RefSeq and is a predicted model, not a curated record. The transcript has 2 exons. NCBI's taxonomy places the organism in Eukaryota, Metazoa, Chordata, Lepidosauria, Squamata, Lacertidae.
AUAGGGUUGAUAUGACUCCAGGGUAGCCAAUCUGAUGUUGUGCGCUAAAACUUCAAUUGCCAGCAGUCAUCAUUUUGGAAGUUAUGGUUCAAAAGCCCUGGGGGGAGGGACCACAUUAGCUACCCCUGAUGUUAUCCAUCUUCUCUCAGCUGCAGCACCCAGCACCCACCCCUACAAUAUGAGCAUAAUAUAAAGGUGGACUUCCUUUGCCUUGGCAGGGUAAUUUCAAAAAUGUCUACAAACUUGGGGAGAAAUACAUAUCUGCAUGAAAUAAGACCUGACCUCGUAAGAGUACAAGCUCCUGUCACUGCAGCUAACUUUUGUUGUGUGCUUGAUAUACUACUCCCAAUCACAGAUACACUGCAUUUCUGAAAUUUCUUUUUAGCACUAUGAAUAAGCCCUGCUUGUUUAAAAUGUGUUUAAUGGGUACUGUGUAAUAUAGUCAGUCAUUUGCAUUGUAAUGGGCAUUGUAACGUGUUUGAUGGUGGAAAUCUGUCUGAUCAGGUGAAAGUUGGUUUAACUGUCACUGGGGUCCUUAACUGACAGUUGAGGAAAGAGGUUGGAGCUAGAACACUCAAUAUGCAAAAGAAGGCUAGAACCUAUGCAUAUUCUGAUUGGUGAUUACAGGUUUAGAAUUCUUAGUUAGGCAGUGUGAUUGGCUGGUGCUCAACUAGGUGGGGCACAAGAAGUGAAUAUAUAGCUGGGUGCUAUUCAGUCAAGAUCAGUCUGUGUUAGUUGGAGACGGAUGCCAGCAACCACCAGCAAGAUAACCAAAAGAAGAAGACAGCAGAGGAAGAGACCUCAGAAAGAAGAUCUGAAAAAAAUGAAGUGUAGCUUGGUGGCCAGAAGACUUGCUGGGGCAGCUGAAUCACUUGGCUUAGAGUAAAGAGACAUGGGAAGAACGUGUUUACAAUAUUAAGGCAGAAGAAAUGAGAGGCAGUUUAGAAUGCUAAACAGAUCUGCACUUCAAUAAGUUGGUAGGGAUCAAAACAGGCUUUAACAAAAGUCCUCAGUUACAGCACUGGUAAGGCUUAACUAGGGUGGAAUAAAUAUGAGGUCAAUCUGGUAGAAGAGUUUUAAUAGGGUAGCUAAUUGCUCCCUAAAAGCUAUAUUUGUGUUUAAAGUGGCAGUAACAAGUUAAAGUAUUAAAAAUAAACUCCUCCCCUAUCGGAAGAGAGCAGGUACCAGCUAGGAGAAGCACAAAAAGCUCAAAAUCCUAUAGACUUAAUGUUUCCUCCAAGUAGAUGGGGCACAUAAUAUUGUUGGCUGCCAAGCAGGGGCAUGCUCCCACAGAAUGCUGGCUGGCUCUUGGGGAAAUGAAAACAAGAGGGAAGGGGGAGGGGUGGAAUAAUGUGAUUUCUAGAAAAGGGCAAGGCUGGUUGACUGAAACUGAACAGGAGCACUUCGCACUGCAACAUUUUGCUGCGAUUCUCAGUUGUGCUCAUCUAACGGCCGCAACCCACCAGAAAGGUAAGCCCAAGACAUUUUGGUGCCCAAAUUGGUGCCCUCCACUGCCAGGGAAGAAGGGAUGAGUGAAGAUCCAUAUCAGGAACGAGGGGGAAAUAAAGAGCGACAUCAAUAUCUGCUGCCCCUGUGGAUCCUGGCACCUGAGGCAGUCGCUUCACCUUGCCUCAUGUUUGGUGGGGCCCCGGUGCCAACAGACAAAUGAUCUUUCCUCAGAAAAGCUGCACAAUUUGGAACAGACAAAUGCUGAUCCGGGAAGAGUUAAACACCACCUCCCCACCUGCCAUUUCGCCACUCUGUGCCCUCCUCUGGAAAUGGGGCUUCCUCUUUAAAAGUGUCUGACAGACUACAGUUGCAUGAAUUUGCAUAUAUUAUAUAAUGGGCAGUUUAGGCCAAGGCAACGGGAAGAAAUAGGGGGCAAACAAUAUAAAUAGCUGAGGAAUAUAGUCACCACACUUCAAAGUUGCUUUUUCAUACUUACUUGGCCUUUAUAUAAAAAAAAUACAUGUCACUAAGAUGUUUUAAGUACAUUGACAAAUGUGGAAUAGACAUGGCAAACACAUGAAUCACACACUCUUCAAAGGGACAGAAUGAACUACAACUCCCUCUUGAAUGUGAGCUUAACAAGCAAACCUAGCUCCUUGUACAAUUUGUGAAAUGGAUCACAGGAUCUCCAUGUAAGAAAAAUACAUAUGGACUAUAAUAUGUGUGAAGUAUAGAACAAGUGCUUAUUAUGGUACCAGUACACAGAUCACAUCACAUCAACCAUUUCUUAAAUAAUAACAAAAUUGUACAAGUGGACCUGGCUGACUUCCAUUUAUAUAGCCAGUUUUGUAUCUUGACUGUUCACUCGACAUAGUGGUAUGUAUUAGAGAGGUCUACAUAACUAUUUUUAUGCAAAAUUUUCACCCAGCUAUUCUGCUAUUCAUAUGUUGUUUAAAAGCAACUGAAGAGUGGUCAUAGUGUGUGAUUGCAUAAGUUGUUUUAAUACAGAUACUGAGCUAGUGAGUCAUUCAGACAUCCUGUGUUAGCUCAUCAUUUCUGCUUGAACAAUAAAUUGCAUAGUCAAAUUUGUUACCUUUGACAGUUUCUUAGCUACAUUAAAACAAACACUGUGUUUUGAAGUCAUUCACGUAUGACUGCUGGGAAAACAGAAAGCUACAAGUGCAAAUUGCUUUCUUUUUUUUAAAGGAAAAUAUAGCAUCUGGAAUGUUUGAUUGGGAUCAACUGCCACUUGGCUGCUUCUCUCCCAUAACUGUUGAUUAUUAGUCAUUCUAGCUGAUUGCAACAGAGGGAAAAGUGAGAUAGUACAGUCUAUGGGACCAACUGUUAAUGGCUCUGCCUCUCCUACAAUUGCCUCAAUGACCAUUGAACCUGCUCAUGAAACGGUUACAGUAUGUAAUUGUAACAGAAUAAAUGCCUGAAUCUGGAUCUUUUCCUGUUCCUUAACUAUCUCUUUUCCUUUUUAUACCAUAACUCUUAGCUUGUUAAGUCUGUGGACAGGAGCUUUGUUCUCUCAACAUUCAUACCACUGCCUAAAAGAUGAUAGAUGUCAUUAUUAUUAUUUCCUACAGUUGACAAACUAUGAGCUCUUCCAAAUAUUAUACAGAAGUACAAAUGCUAUAUCAGAUAUAAGGUGGCUUAAUAAAACGAUAUUGUGGAAACGAAGGCGAUAAAUAUAUGAUAAAAAUAAAUGUAUAUUUUUAAAAAUAAGUAGUUUGUUGUAUGUGUAUUAAACAAUAAAAUCAUAUUGUCGCAAGCUUUCAUGUCAAAAGGCAAGGGCAUAUAACUAUUCAUGCUUGGCUUGCCAUGGCAAAAGAUCAGCAAGGACAGAUAUCCAUGUUAAUUGUAUGCAGACUCCUACACACACACCCCUAAAUUCCUAGGCCAUUCUCUUUUUGUCGGUUGAAUGUAUCUAUUAAACAGAGAAAACACA